UACGUAGGGUCCGAGCGUUGUCCGGAAUUACUGGGCGUAAAGCGUGCGCAGGCGGUCCUUUAAGUCUGAUGUGAAAGCCCACGGCUCAACCGUGGAGGGUCAUUGGAAACUGGGGGACUUGAGUGCAGAAGAGGAAAGCGGAAUUCCACUUGUAGCGGUGAAAUGCGUAGAGAUGUGGAGGAACACCAGUGGCGAAGGCGGCUUUCUGGUCUGUAACUGACGCUGAGGCGCGAAAGCGUGGGGAGCAAACAGG
This 253-nucleotide ribosomal RNA is filed under the name uncultured bacterium. Its description in RNAcentral is "partial 16S ribosomal RNA". It matches the Rfam family "Bacterial small subunit ribosomal RNA", at positions 524 to 776 of the family's 1533-position model. The record is from RNAcentral.